GAUGAACGCUGGCGGCGUGCCUAAUACAUGCAAGUCGAGCGAACAGACGAGGAGCUUGCUCCUCUGACGUUAGCGGCGGACGGGUGAGUAACACGUGGAUAACCUACCUAUAAGACUGGGAUAACUUCGGGAAACCGGAGCUAAUACCGGAUAACAUGUUGAACCGCAUGGUUUAACAGUGAAAGACGGUCUUGCUGUCACUUAUAGAUGGAUCCGCGCCGCAUUAGCUAGUUGGUAAGGUAACGGCUUACCAAGGCAACGAUGCGUAGCCGACCUGAGAGGGUGAUCGGCCACACUGGAACUGAGACAGGGUCCAGACUCCUACGGGAGGCAGCAGUAGGGAAUCUUCCGCAAUGGGCGAAAGCCUGACGGAGCAACGCCGCGUGAGUGAAGAAGGUCUUCGGAUCGUAAAACUCUGUUAUUAGGGAAGAACAAAUGUGUAAGUAACUAUGCACGUCUUGACGGUACCUAAUCAGAAAGCCACGGCUAACUACGUG
This 497-nucleotide ribosomal RNA is filed under the name uncultured bacterium. RNAcentral describes it as "partial 16S ribosomal RNA". It matches the Rfam family "Bacterial small subunit ribosomal RNA", at positions 28 to 507 of the family's 1533-position model. The record is from RNAcentral.